CACGAUAUCCCCUGCACCCGCGACGUUGGUGAUUAACACCAAGUUGAAGUAUCUGAACCCGUGGAUUGUGAACCGGAUCCCCCCUUGCUUCCGGCAUGCCACUCGGCGGUAGGCGACGGGGACGAUUCCGGCGCGAUACUCAGCGAUUUUAAGAAACAUAGGCAUAGCCAAAUCGAAAUGCGGGCGAGGAGGAUUACACCAUCCGCCAUUGUCACUGGGCAAAGCAAAGUUCGGCGGACAGAAAUUAGUGGCCGUAAUAAUAAUCGACGGGCUGCCGGAAUGGCACCAUCUCGGGUCAUUUGCACAUUUGAUUUCGAAACAGGCGCCGCAGCUCAGCCCAUUGUUAAACAGCGCCGUACUCAACGCCGCCGUGUUCACUCCGUACCCUUGGCUGUACAAGUUCCCAUACCCACAAGCUCCACCCAUUGUGCCGGAGGCAUCGGAGCCGCCGUAGAACGUGGCAUGGGCACUCUCCCAUGGGCCACCGGAGUAGACGCCGGGAAUUCUGGCGCCGGCCGUCCACAUUGUUGAAAUGAUAGUCGCAAUGCAGAGGAGAAUGGCGGUUUUAGCCAUUUUUUGGGGUUUAAUAACUGAAAAGAGAGAAGAAAG
This 609-nucleotide unclassified non-coding RNA is filed under the name Hevea brasiliensis (rubber tree). Lineage: Eukaryota; Viridiplantae; Streptophyta; Magnoliopsida; Malpighiales; Euphorbiaceae. The record is from RNAcentral.